CACUGGCUGACCAGAACAUAUCCGUGUUCAUGCUGUCCACGUAUCAGACAGACUUCAUCCUGGUGCUCAAGCGGGACCUGCCCUUUGUCACCCACACGUUGUCAUCAGAGUUCACCAUCCUGUGGUCAGUGGCUAGACUGUAGCAGCCGAGAACCUCGGCAUCACCAGUGGCUUCGUGAAGCCCAAGCUGGGGCCUUGGUGUACCUUGUUGUAGUGUUUGAAAACAUCUGAGGCUGCAUCCAUCUCCAGCACCCCAUAAAGCAACAGCUUGCAGAACCCGGCUAGGAGGCGGCGCCGCUGGUGUAGCCGCUCUAUCUGUAAAUGAUCCUCCUGGGAAUCACCUGGCUCACAUGGAAGGCAAAAGGGAAUCACAGACUUAAGCUUCCUGCCCUAUAUUUCUGAGCUACACCCAAGCCCCAGCCCUUACUGAGCCCCAGGUAUAGAGUCACUGCACCACUGCCCAGGUCUCCCGGCUGGAUGAAGACGUGGUCCAUGAGGAAGCUGGCUAGCUCAGACUGGAGAGUAGCUUCAGGAAAAAAGACAAGUGGCCUAAG
Molecule: long non-coding RNA, 554 nt
Organism: Homo sapiens (human)
Lineage: Eukaryota; Metazoa; Chordata; Mammalia; Primates; Hominidae
Gene: CASTOR3P
Product: CASTOR family member 3, pseudogene
Source: Ensembl